AUUCUCACUUCGGCAGCACAUAUACUAAAAUUGGAACGAUACAGAGAAGAUUAGCAUGGCCCCUGUGCAAGGAUGACAUGCAAAUUCAUGAAGCGCUCAAUAUUUUU
RNAcentral lists this small nuclear RNA (107 nucleotides) under Choloepus hoffmanni (Hoffmann's two-fingered sloth). The record is from RNAcentral. Lineage: Eukaryota; Metazoa; Chordata; Mammalia; Pilosa; Megalonychidae.